AACGACUUAACUUAUUCGGAGUCUUGCCGAACUUCUCGAGUAUUAGUUAAAUUCCCGAUAUUUAUCUUUAAUGUGGCCAUCCAUCGUUCAUGGUGGCAUGGUAUUAGGGAAGUCUGUAAACAAACCCCGCUGCUUUAAUUAGCGGCUUACGCUAUGAUCUAAAUUAUCAUAGGUCCAUUUUCAAAUUUAAAUCCUCUUGGAUUGAAAUACUUAAUUAUUCUUGGAUUAAGUAUAAAGUGUAAUUGGAUUGGUGAGGUCUAAUUUAAUUAAAUUCCAUGGUCUAACUUUUAUUGAGGGCAGAGGUCCAAAAACGUGGCCCCAAAUAAUUUAAAUAAAAGAGCCCAGCUCUUUCUCUUCCUUUCUUGUUUUUUUUAUGAACUCCUUGGCCCAAAUUAAUUUUAAAGGAAAGGCCCAAUUCUAAACCAGGAGGGUGGCCCAACUAGGAGAUGUACUCCUAUCCGUCGCUGCACCCUCUCACUUUCUCAUCUCUUUCUUUCCCAAUUCCCAAAUCAAUUUCUACCCUAACUCUUCACCACCGACGACUCCAGUGGGUCGACAUCAGCCUAGCAGGCUCCGUCGAUGGCCUGGUGAAGUCAGCACGGCACAGCGGCCGUCGCUGCUGUCUCAGGGAUCUCGUCGCAGGGCUCCCUCUGCCGGCGCCUUUCGUCACUUCCUCUCUCUCGGCUGCAUCACUGCUCCCACUGUCGCCAGCUAUGGACCGGCGACGAGCCGCUGUCACCAGCCAUCACAGCGUCACCGUCGACGCUGAUUCUGGCGUGAGACACGAUGCUGAACUUCGUCCUUCGGUGACCGAGGUCAGCAGCCGUCGUCUACCCGCACCGCUACAACCGGCGGCCCAUCCGUCCGCCCCCUCUUCUCGUAGCUAAGUUUGGUAUUUAAAUUCCUAGUUUACACUUUAGUCUAGAUUUCUAGUUUUGAGCAUGUCGGUGCUUUGUGAUGUUGGAGAUCUUGGCUAAUGUGUUUUAGAGUUAUGAUUUUUGGGAAAGUUUAGUUCAAAGCAGUAGUAUAGGGUGGCUGUUGACAUGAUUCAAGCUUAGUAUGCUGUGCUCGCUUGAUUCCAAGUGUUUCAAACAUAUGAAUGAAAGAGUGUUACCUCUUGAAAGUAGCUACUGUUCCUGAGCCUCUGCUCCUAGAACUCCAAGCUCUCUAGCCCUCCCUAUUUCGGCCCCUCUCUCACCCCUUUUACUCCCUUGCUCGUGUUAUGUGGUGGUGUAUGGAGUAAAGCUGGGGGUUAUCCCUAUAUAUAAAGGGUGUGUAACUGAAAGCUGCAAGAGUUGGUUAUUUGGCUGAAAAGAAAGAGUCCUUAGGCUGUGAAAGUCGGCUGCCCUUUCUGCAGCUUUGCAGAGCACGAAUCUCUGCUGUCUCUCUAACAGAUUCUGGUGGCUCUUGAUGGUGUACUAGUGAACUCAUUAUGGCUGCCGUAGAGCCUCUGUUUUCCUGAUCCCCUCUUUGCUGAAAUUCUACUGAUUUCUUUUGUGAAUUUACAGGUACAAGCUGGGCUAGGGGGUGGCUAGGCUGGGGUGCAAGGUGCUGUGACCUCCUCUCUGAGACCUGGUGCACUCGGUAGUCCAAGGGACCGAGGCUGACUCUUCCUGGCUGCUAUCUCGUCAAUUUGGCCCAACGGGCCGUCGGGAAACUGGGCUGAACCAAGCUAAGGAGGAGACCCAAAGCUAGCUUUCCCCUUCUUUUCAUUUUAUUCUUUUUCCUUCUCUAUAUGUUGUAAUAGAGUUGUUCUAUUUGAAAUCUCUCUUUUCUUUAACAUGUAAUAGUUAUUUGGUGUGUAUUACUUUUCAAGCAUUUGCACUUUAUUAGCUUGAAAUUCUCAAAUCUUGUAUUUCUUUUACUCAAGAAAUAAACAAAUACUCUUUCUUCUUUA
Long non-coding RNA from Salvia splendens (bonfire salvia), 1897 nucleotides. RefSeq lists it as uncharacterized. The transcript has 2 exons. NCBI's taxonomy places the organism in Eukaryota, Viridiplantae, Streptophyta, Magnoliopsida, Lamiales, Lamiaceae. The record is from RefSeq and is a predicted model, not a curated record.